This 23-nucleotide small nuclear RNA is filed under the name Arabidopsis thaliana (thale cress). RNAcentral describes it as "snRNA_09437". Lineage: Eukaryota; Viridiplantae; Streptophyta; Magnoliopsida; Brassicales; Brassicaceae. The record is from RNAcentral.
CAAGAAUUCGAACUUUUGGUUUA